This is a non-coding RNA of Cherax quadricarinatus, 544 nucleotides long. NCBI's taxonomy places the organism in Eukaryota, Metazoa, Arthropoda, Malacostraca, Decapoda, Parastacidae. The record is from RefSeq and is a predicted model, not a curated record.
GGACACAAGUGCAGCUGAUGUGACAGUUUAUUGUGGCAACGUUUCACUCACCAGAAGCUUUGACAAGCCGUUAUGUAGCAGCUUGACAAAAUUCCUGGAGAGCGAAAUGUUGCCGCAAUAAAAUGUCACGUCACAUUAGCCGCACUUGUGUCUUUUUACCUAACAUACUGUUGUGAAAGCUAAGUGAUUUACGCUGUCAAAGACUUUUUAGAUUUUUGUCACUGAAGUGGCUAGUUUAUUAUGCAUCCUGCGGAGGGUAACUCGGUCAAAUUGCUUAGUAAACGUCACAACUGCUACUGUUACUACUAAUUAAGUUGCAGCUGUGUUCUGCUCUGCUACAGACACUUGUGUACAGCAGUUGCCGAACUCUGGGGAAAAUACUCAGUGAAGUCUCUGGGGACUUAAGUAACUACAAGCCCAUCAAGUCUUCCAUAUAUCUUGCAACAGUAGAUCAAUGUACAGCCUUCACUCUCAUGGUUGUGAGAACAUCAACAAUCACCAUCCCAGAGACACCAUCACAUCGUGGUAAGAAAAAUAUUUUGUA